RNAcentral lists this ribosomal RNA (415 nucleotides) under marine sediment bacterium BB0608_2216_8.1_6S0. Its description in RNAcentral is "bacterial SSU rRNA". It matches the Rfam family "Bacterial small subunit ribosomal RNA", at positions 75 to 484 of the family's 1533-position model. The record is from RNAcentral.
GGUGCUUGCACCCCGCUGACGAGCGGCGGACGGGUGAGUAAUGCAUAGGAAACUGCCCAGUAGUGGGGGAUAGCCCGGGGAAACCCGGAUUAAUACCGCGUACGCCCUUCGGGGGAAAGCAGGGGAUCUUCGGACCUUGCGCUAUUGGAUGUGCCUAUGUCGGAUUAGCUAGUUGGUGGGGUAAAGGCCUACCAAGGCGACGAUCCGUAGCUGGUCUGAGAGGAUGAUCAGCCACAUCGGGACUGAGACACGGCCCGAACUCCUACGGGAGGCAGCAGUGGGGAAUAUUGGACAAUGGGGGCAACCCUGAUCCAGCCAUGCCGCGUGUGUGAAGAAGGCUUUCGGGUUGUAAAGCACUUUCAGUGAGGAGGAAAAGUUGGUCGUUAAUACCGGCCAGCCUUGACGUUACUCACAG